UACGUAGGGUGCGAGCGUUGUCCGGAAUUAUUGGGCGUAAAGGGCUCGUAGGCGGUUUGUCGCGCCGGGAGUGAAAACCUCGGGCUUAACUCGGGGCUUGCUUUCGAUACGGGCAGACUGGAGGUAUGCAGGGGAGAACGGAAUUCCUGGUGUAGCGGUGAAAUGCGCAGAUAUCAGGAGGAACACCGGUGGCGAAGGCGGUUCUCUGGGCAUGACCUGACGCUGAGGAGCGAAAGUGUGGGGAGCGAACAGG
This 253-nucleotide ribosomal RNA is filed under the name uncultured bacterium. Its description in RNAcentral is "partial 16S ribosomal RNA". It matches the Rfam family "Bacterial small subunit ribosomal RNA", at positions 524 to 776 of the family's 1533-position model. The record is from RNAcentral.